This 303-nucleotide unclassified non-coding RNA is filed under the name Hevea brasiliensis (rubber tree). Lineage: Eukaryota; Viridiplantae; Streptophyta; Magnoliopsida; Malpighiales; Euphorbiaceae. The record is from RNAcentral.
GGAAAUUGUUUUAUCUUUCUACUAGCUCUGAAUUCUUUCUUAAGGCAAAAUUGACAUGGCAAUAGGGUGUUGUGUCCUUUAUUUCAAUGACAGUAACAACUGGUGUAUUUUUCUAGCCUGAUACAUCUUUAUGCAGAAGUAAUAAUGACAAGCUUUUUGAAAUGUCAUUAGAGAUGCUAAAUUCUAGGUAUUUUCAUGAUCAUACUUUAAUAACUACUGUGAAGCAUACAUGCCUCUCUUUUUCUUCCCAUGUAAUUUGGAUUUAAUUGUCUUGAUAGAACAAUGAUUUGGGGUGGCACUCUG